RNAcentral lists this long non-coding RNA (238 nucleotides) under Nicotiana benthamiana. RNAcentral describes it as "long non-coding RNA (NBEN_LNC037976)". The record is from RNAcentral. Lineage: Eukaryota; Viridiplantae; Streptophyta; Magnoliopsida; Solanales; Solanaceae.
AUCUCAUUAUAUUUUGGACUUGGUGACAUGCUUACUAUAAGAUUCUCACAAUGAUCCAGAUCCAUACCAAACCUUUAAAUCAACAAAGAUAUUCAGUCAAACAUGUUAUGGUGUUCUUUCAACCAAGCUAACAAACACCAGUGAGCUUCAUUAGGCCUAAGAGUGACGACGACAGAUUUCCAUUUUUUUAGAUCCUAUAUAACUGCAUUAUCAAAGCAAAAAUACUCUAUAAGGUAAU